This is a long non-coding RNA of Amblyraja radiata (thorny skate), 466 nucleotides long. RefSeq lists it as uncharacterized. The record is from RefSeq and is a predicted model, not a curated record. NCBI's taxonomy places the organism in Eukaryota, Metazoa, Chordata, Chondrichthyes, Rajiformes, Rajidae. The transcript has 3 exons.
GGGGUAGGGUGUUGACAUGGAUAGAAAAUUGGUUGGCAGACCGGAAGCAAAGAGUAGGAGUGAACGGAUCUUUUUCAGUAUGGCAGGCAGUUACUAGUGGGGUACCGCAAGGCUCGGUGCUGGGACUGCAGCUAUUUACAAUAUACAUUAAUGAUCUAGAUGAAGGGAUUGAAAGCAACAUUAGCAAAUUUGCAGAUGACACAAAACUGGGUGGCAGUGCGAACGGUGAAGAGGAUGUUAUAAGGAUGCAGGGUAACUUACAGGUUGGGUGAGUGGAUAGAUGCAUGGGCAGAUGCAGUUUAAUGUGGAUAAAUGUGAUGUUAUCCACUUUGGUUAUUGGUAGCAAAAAAACAGGACGGCAGAUUAUCAUCUAAAUGGUGUCAAGUUGGGAAAAGGGGAAGUACAACAGGAUCUGGGGAUCCUUGUUCAUCAGUCAAUUAAAGUAAGCAUGCAGGUACAGCAGGCA